GCUCUAACCACUAGGCGCUAAAUAAGCGUCUGUACCUUUCUAAUUCUGUCAAAGCCCCAUUUGUGUCACAGCCGCAGGAACUGAAGGAGUCCGGAGGACAUGCGGAUGUUGACAGUCACUUACCAGUGGCUCAGAAUGGAGCACACUUCACUUUAUGUGAUACUCUAAACAGCAACCCCACCUGAGGCAGAUUCAGUCUGAAGCCAGGCACAUCCCAGGUCCUUGAGAGGGUAGGGAUGGAGGGAUUGAGGGAUGGAAUGAUGGAAGGAUGAAG
This 274-nucleotide long non-coding RNA is filed under the name Oncorhynchus kisutch (coho salmon). RNAcentral's name for it is "lncRNA (ENSOKIG00005008363.1)". The record is from RNAcentral. Lineage: Eukaryota; Metazoa; Chordata; Actinopteri; Salmoniformes; Salmonidae.